This 915-nucleotide ribosomal RNA is filed under the name uncultured Candidatus Poseidoniales archaeon. RNAcentral's name for it is "SSU rRNA". It matches the Rfam family "Archaeal small subunit ribosomal RNA", at positions 1 to 923 of the family's 1478-position model. The record is from RNAcentral. Lineage: Archaea; Methanobacteriati; Thermoplasmatota; Candidatus Poseidoniia; Candidatus Poseidoniales.
UCCGGUUGAUCCUGCCGGAGGCUACCGCUAUUGGAGUUCGAUUAAGCCAUGCGAGUCGAGAGUCUUAGGGACUCGGCGUACCGCUCAGUAACACGUGGGUAACCUGCCCUAUGCUGGGGAAUAACCUCGGGAAACUGAGAAUAAUACCCCAUAGUUCACCACGCCUGGAACGGUGGGUGGAUGAAAGCUCCGGCGGCAUAGGAUGGGCCUGCGACGUAUCAGGUUGUAGGGGGUGUAACGUACCCUCUAGCCAUCAACGCGUACGGGUGUUGGGAGACAUAGCCCGGAGAUGGAUUCUGAGACACGAAUCCAGACCCUACGGGGUGCAGCAGGCGCGAAAACUUGGCAAUGCGAGCAAUCGUGACCAGGGAACUCCAAGUGGCUGGGGUAAUACCCAGUUUUUUCUUGACUCUUCAAAGGUCUUGGAAUAAGGGGUGGGUAAGGACGGUGCCAGCCGCCGCGGUAAUACCGGCGCCUCAAGUGGUAGUCGCUUUUAUUGGGCCUAAAACGUCCGUAGCCGGUCUGGUGCAUUCGUGGGUAAAUCAACCCGCUCAACGGGUUGAAUUCUGCGAGCACGGCCAGACUUGGGACCGGGAGAGGUGUGGGGUACUCUCAGGGUAGGGGUAAAAUCCUGUCAUCCUGAGAGGACCACCUGUUGCGAAGGCGCCACACUAGAACGGAUUCGACGGUCAGGGACGAAACCUAGGGGCACGAACCGGAUUAGAUACCCGGGUAGUCCUAGGUGUAAACGCUGUGGACUUGAUGUUGGGGGUGCUCCGAGCACUCUCAGUGUCGAAGCGAAGGUGAUAAGUCCACUGCCUGGGGAGUACGGUCGCAAGGCUGAAACUUAAAGGAAUUGGCGGGGGAGCACUGCAACCUGAGGAUUGUGCGGUUUAAUUGGAUUCAACGCCGGGA